This 2287-nucleotide ribosomal RNA is filed under the name wastewater metagenome. RNAcentral describes it as "bacterial LSU rRNA". It matches the Rfam family "Bacterial large subunit ribosomal RNA", at positions 350 to 2611 of the family's 2925-position model. The record is from RNAcentral.
GCCGGCCACAGGGGGUGAAAGCCCCGUAGGCGAAAGGGAUCUUCGGCGGAUGUUCGCCACCUAAGUACCGCGGGACACGUGAAAUCCCGCGGGAAUCCGGGAGGACCACCUCCCAAGGCUAAAUACUACCCAGCGACCGAUAGUGAACUAGUACCGUGAGGGAAAGGUGAAAAGCACCCCGGGAGGGGAGUGAAAUAGUACCUGAAACCGUGUUGCCUACAAACAGUGGGAGGGCUAUGGCGCGAGCCAGCCUGACCGCGUACUUUUUGUAGAACGGACCGGCGACUUACGGUGUGCGGCAAGGUUAAGCGGAUAACGCGGAGCCGAAGCGAAAGCGAGUCUUAACAGGGCGAAUUAGUCGUACGCUGUAGACCCGAAACCGGGCGAUCUAUCCAUGGCCAGGGUGAAGCGGAAGUAACGUUCCGUGGAGGCCCGAACCCAUUAGUGUUGAAAAACUAUGGGAUGAGCUGUGGAUAGGGGUGAAAAGCCAAUCGAGCUCGGAGAUAGCUGGUUCUCCCCGAAAUAGCUUUAGGGCUAGCCUCGGGAAUAGGCUUGCGGAGGUAGAGCACUGAUCGGGCAAGGGGCCCUGAAAGGUUACCGACCCCUUUCAAACUCCGAAUGCCGCAAGCUGGUGCCCGGGAGUCAGACUGUGGGGGCUAAGCUUCAUAGUCGAGAGGGAAACAGCCCAGACCGCCGGCUAAGGUCCCAAAUUGACAGCUAAGUGGUAAAGGAUGUGGAACUGCCCAGACAACCAGGAUGUUGGCUUAGAAGCAGCCAUACAUUUAAAGAGUGCGUAAUAGCUCACUGGUCGAGUGGGUCUGCGCCGAAAAUGUCCGGGGCUCAAGCUGUCAACCGAAGCCGCGGAACUCAAGUAUUGGGUUGGUAGGGGAGCGUUGCCUGCUGGUUGAAGCACGACCGUAAGGACGUGUGGACGGCAGGGAAGUGAGAAUGCCGGUAUGAGUAGCGAAAAGGCAGGUGAGAAUCCUGCCCGCCGGAAGCCUAAGGUUUCCUGAGGAAGGUUCGUCCUCUCAGGGUAAGCCGGGGCCUAAGCCGAGGCCGAAGGGCGUAGGCGAUGGACAACGGGUUGAAAUUCCCGUGCCGCCUCGGUCGCGCUUGAGCGAAGCGGGGACGCAGAAGGGUAGGCACAGCAGGCUGAUGGAAUAGCCUGUCCAAGCGAGUAGGGUGUCGCGUAGGCAAAUCCGCGCGACGUGAAGCCCAAGACGCGAGUGGGUGCGGAUACGUCCGCUGAACUGGCCAAUCCCAUGCUGCCAAGAAAAGCCGCUAGCGAGCGACCAGGCGCCCGUACCGCAAACCGACACAGGUAGGCGAGGAGAGGAUCCUAAGGCGCGCGAGAGAACCCUCGUUAAGGAACUCGGCAAAAUGGCCCCGUAACUUAGGGAUAAGGGGCGCCCCGGUAGGGUGAAGGGCAACACGCCCGAAGCCUGAGGGGGCCGCAGUGAAACGGCCCGAGCGACUGUUUACCACAAACACAGGUCUCUGCUAAGUCGCAAGACGAAGUAUAGGGGCUGACGCCUGCCCAGUGCCGGAAGGUUAAGGGGAGGGCUUAGCGCAAGCGAAGGUCUGAACCGAAGCCCCGGUGAACGGCGGCCGUAACUAUAACGGUCCUAAGGUAGCGAAAUUCCUUGUCGGGUAAGUUCCGACCUGCACGAAUGGCGUAACGACUUGGGCGCUGUCUCAACGAGGGACUCGGCGAAACUGUAAGUGCACGUGAAGAUACGUGCUACCCACGACUAGACGGAAAGACCCCAUGGAGCUUUACUGCAUCCUGAGAUUGGAUUUUGGCAGGGCAUGUACAGGAUAGGUGGGAGGCUGAGAAGCAAUGACGCUAGUUGUUGUGGAGCCACCCUUGGGAUACCACCCUUGUUUUGCUGGAGUUCUAACCCGCGGCCGUGAUCCGGCUGGGGGACAUUCUCAGGUGGGCAGUUUGACUGGGGCGGUCGCCUCCUAAAAGGUAACGGAGGCGCCCCAAGGUUCCCUCAGCGCGGUUAGAAAUCGCGCGCAGAGUGCAAAGGCAGAAGGGAGCUUGACUGCGAGACGUACAUGUCGAGCAGGGACGAAAGUCGGGCUUAGCGAUCAGGUGGUUCCGAGUGGAAGGGCCAUCGCUCAACGGAUAAAAGCUACCCUGGGGAUAACAGGCUUAUCUCUCCCAAGAGUCCAUAUCGACGGGGAGGUUUGGCACCUCGAUGUCGGCUCGUCGCAUCCUGGGGCUGAAGUAGGUCCCAAGGGUUGGGCUGUUCGCCCAUUAAAGCGGCACGCGAGCUGGGUU